Molecule: long non-coding RNA, 214 nt
Organism: Bombus impatiens (common eastern bumble bee)
Lineage: Eukaryota; Metazoa; Arthropoda; Insecta; Hymenoptera; Apidae
Exons: 2
Source: RefSeq, a predicted model, not a curated record
ACAGCUGAUUGCUCAUUUAAUACAUGUAUACAUAUAUGAACAUGUAGUAUAUAUAUAUAUAAAUUUAUAUUGCUACAUAAGUGCUACAUUCUUUGCUGUAUAAUAUUUCAUCUUCAUCUUGUAAAUAUGUACCUAUAUUUUAUUCAUUGGAAUCAGGUCAUCAUGAUAAUAUGAUGUCAAAUUUAAUUUCACUCCAUUAAAGACAGCAUUUAAA